UGAGUCGUAGCCGAGGUUCCACAGGAGGGGGCCCAGAACGGACCCCUGUGGAACCCCGCACGACAUC
RNAcentral lists this microRNA precursor (67 nucleotides) under Harpegnathos saltator (Jerdon's jumping ant). RNAcentral's name for it is "mir-3389 microRNA precursor family". It matches the Rfam family "mir-3389 microRNA precursor family". Lineage: Eukaryota; Metazoa; Arthropoda; Insecta; Hymenoptera; Formicidae. The record is from Rfam by way of RNAcentral.